GAUGAACGCUGGCGGCGUGCCUAAUAAAUGCAAGUCGAGCGGACGGACGAGAAGCUUGCUUCUCUGAUGUUAGCGGCGGACGGGUGAGUAACUCGUGGAUAACCUACCUAUAAGACUGGGAUAACUUCGGGAAACCGGAGCUAAUACCGGAUAAUAUUUUGAACCGCAUGGUUCAAAAGUGAAAGACGGUCUUGCUGUCACUUAUAGAUGGAUCCGCGCUGCAUUAGCUAGUUGGUAAGGUAACGGCUUACCAAGGCAACGAUGCAUAGCCGACCUGAGAGGGUGAUCGGCCACACUGGAACUGAGACACGGUCCAGACUCCUACGGGAGGCAGCAGUAGGGAAUCUUCCGCAAUGGGCGAAAGCCUGACGGAGCAACGCCGCGUGAGUGAUGAAGGUCUUCGGAUCGUAAAACUCUGUUAUUAGGGAAGAACAUAUGUGUAAGUAACUGUGCACAUCUUGACGGUACCUAAUCAGAAAGCCACGGCUAACUACGUG
RNAcentral lists this ribosomal RNA (497 nucleotides) under uncultured bacterium. RNAcentral's name for it is "partial 16S ribosomal RNA". It matches the Rfam family "Bacterial small subunit ribosomal RNA", at positions 28 to 507 of the family's 1533-position model. The record is from RNAcentral.